UACGUAGGGGGCAAGCGUUGUCCGGAUUUAUUGGGCGUAAAGCGCUCGCAGGCGGUCCGAUGCGUCGUGUGUGAAAGACCCCGGCUCAACUGGGGGAGGUCGUGCGAUACGGUCGGACUCGAGGCCAGUAGGGGGAUGCGGAAUUCCGGGUGUAGUGGUGGAAUGCGUAGAGAUCCGGAAGAACACCGGUGGCGAAGGCGGUUGGCUGGGCCACAACUGACACUGAUGCGCGACAGCGUGGGGAGCAAACAGG
Molecule: ribosomal RNA, 253 nt
Filed under: uncultured bacterium
Lineage: Bacteria
Description: partial 16S ribosomal RNA
Rfam family: Bacterial small subunit ribosomal RNA
Source: RNAcentral